Molecule: ribosomal RNA, 478 nt
Filed under: uncultured Anaerolineaceae bacterium
Lineage: Bacteria; Bacillati; Chloroflexota; Anaerolineae; Anaerolineales; Anaerolineaceae
Description: bacterial SSU rRNA
Rfam family: Bacterial small subunit ribosomal RNA
Source: RNAcentral
CGCGUGCGCGAAGAAGGCCUUCGGGUUGUAAAGCGCUUUUCGGUAGGAAGAGGAAGGACUGUACUCCCGGAAUAAGUCUCGGCUAACUACGUGCCAGCAGCCGCGGUAAUACGUAGGAGGCUAACGUUAUCCGGAUUUACUGGGCGUAAAGCGCGUGCAGGCGGUUCGUUAAGUUGGACGUGAAAGCUCCCGGCUCAACUGGGAGAGGUCGUUCAAUACUGGCGGACUUGAGGAUGGUAGAGGGAGGUGGAAUUCCGGGUGUAGUGGUGAAAUGCGCAGAUAUCCGGAGGAACACCAGUGGCGAAAGCGGCCUCCUGGACCAUUCCUGACGCUCAGACGCGAAAGCUAGGGUAGCAAACGGGAUUAGAGACCCCGGUAGUCCUAGCUGUAAACGAUGUGAACUUGGCGUCGGUGGGAUUAAAUCCAUCGGUGUCGAAGCUAACGCGAUAAGUUCACCGCCUGAGGACUACGGCCGCAA